UGGGAUUUGACGACAACACUAAAACAUCAUCAUACACUGCCGACUCCUCUUGUUUAUAAUUUAUUAUAUCCAGCUCAUCCGGAGGAUAAUUUCACUAAAAGGUACAAAUAUUUGCAGUUGAAAUAUCUCUCUGGACACUUGAAUGACAAUCUUUUAGGGAUAUUAGAAAAUCUUGGGAUAGAGAUGAAGCCUUUUGGUAAGGACUGUCAUGAAGCAUUGUGCAACAAGUUUGCCAUGUGUGGGGUGAAUAAGUCUCCCAGUGUCGGUA
This 268-nucleotide long non-coding RNA is filed under the name Linum usitatissimum (flax). RNAcentral describes it as "long non-coding RNA (LUSI_LNC000709)". Lineage: Eukaryota; Viridiplantae; Streptophyta; Magnoliopsida; Malpighiales; Linaceae. The record is from RNAcentral.